UGCACCUCGCGUUAUUGGAGCGGCUGAUGUCUGAUUAGCUAGUUGGUGAGGUAAAGGCUUACCAAGGCGACGAUCAGUAGCUGGUCUGAGAGGACGGCCAGCCACACUGGGACUGAGACACGGCCCAGACUCCUACGGGAGGCAGCAGUGGGGAAUUUUGGACAAUGGGGGCAACCCUGAUCCAGCCAUGUCGCGUGAGUGAAGAAGGCCUUCGGGUUGUAAAGCUCUUUCGUCCGGAACGAAACGGUGGAUGCUGACACCAUCCAUUACUGACGGUACCGGAAGAAGAAGCACCGGCUAACUACGUGCCAGCAGCCGCGGUAAUACGUAGGGUGCGAGCGUUAAUCGGAAUUACUGGGCGUAAAGCGUGCGCAGGCGGUGGCUCAAGUCAGAUGUGAAAUCCCUAGGCUUAACCUGGGAAUUGCAUUUGA
RNAcentral lists this ribosomal RNA (431 nucleotides) under uncultured bacterium. RNAcentral describes it as "bacterial SSU rRNA". It matches the Rfam family "Bacterial small subunit ribosomal RNA", at positions 207 to 630 of the family's 1533-position model. The record is from RNAcentral.